Non-coding RNA from Vicia faba (fava bean), 246 nucleotides. The record is from the annotation of a GenBank genome assembly. Lineage: Eukaryota; Viridiplantae; Streptophyta; Magnoliopsida; Fabales; Fabaceae.
AUGAAAGAAAAUUCAAAAGAAAAAAUAAAAAACGCUGAAACGAUGUCGUAUCGUGGUUGGUGUAGGUUUUUAAACGUAAGUUUUUCUAUCUUCUUCACCGCAGCUUCAAACGAAACUCAAACCUUCAGCCACCGUGUCGGCGGUGCCCACGGUGACCUGGUUGUUUGGAUUUUGUUCAUGAUUAGUGAGCUGUUUGGUCAUGCUUGGAUUUAUUUCGUGGCCUGGUCUAGCAUAUCUUUGUGUUAA